ACAAUGAGUCCAGGGGCAGAUGCCGAUCAAUGGGGCAGGACUUCGAUUAUGGAGUUGGGAGUAGGAACAGGGAGAGACGGGACACAAUGCGAGUAGCUGGGCUAAUUAACUGACAGGGAACCCCCGAAAGCGAAAUUGCCCAACAAAUGACAACGCUCAUGAGUUCCUUCAGUUAAUCCACCUCAUCCAGCUUUUCUUCAGCUUCCUCGAGCAACUUUAGAUGGGGGAUUGACAGGAGGAACUGGAGGAACUGGAGGAACUGGAGGAAAAAGCAGCCAUCAGCAUCGGGCAUCAAGCAUCGGCACUGGAUUGAUGUGUUUAUGGUGCUCGUAAUGCGAAUGCCCGCCGAGGGCUCAUUUAAUGUUGUAAGAACAACCGGGAGGAUGGAGGAUAUAUUGUUCCACUGCCGCAGAUUUAGAUUUAUCGAUUGGCUAAUUUAUGAACAUCCGCUGCGAAUCCGAUUGAUAUGUAAAUGUGCUCACAUUUGUGUCACUCAUUUUGGGUUCCCUCCACCGAAGUCUGCGAGAUAAUCGCGCGGACAGAAUAGGAGCCAGUAAGUAGUCCAGUCGGCAGCAACCAGUUGACGGUUUCUGCCGGCCACUUGACAGUUGCCCGUGGGCAGUGUACAGUGGUCAAUGGAUGUGGCUGCUGGACAGUGGACAGUGGACAGUGGACAGAGGACUGUGGUCAGUUCACAUCGUUCGGUGCAAUGAAUCGUUCCGAUAGCCAUCUCUCGCAUGAGACGCACGAACACACACACGGCGAGAUCCCAAUCGCUCCUCUCAUUACAGUCAAUCCUCUGCUCAUUUCGGGGUCACCAACAGGUCAUGAUGCGCUGCAUCCGGUGCACGAACAAUGAAUAAAAGCUUUUCCAAAUCAGAGCGCUCUUUUUAUAAGUUUGACUUUAUCAAUUAAAA
This is a long non-coding RNA of Drosophila gunungcola (fruit fly), 917 nucleotides long. RefSeq lists it as uncharacterized. The record is from RefSeq and is a predicted model, not a curated record. The transcript is spliced from 2 exons. Lineage: Eukaryota; Metazoa; Arthropoda; Insecta; Diptera; Drosophilidae.